RNAcentral lists this ribosomal RNA (417 nucleotides) under Triticum aestivum (bread wheat). RNAcentral describes it as "partial small subunit ribosomal RNA". The record is from RNAcentral. Lineage: Eukaryota; Viridiplantae; Streptophyta; Magnoliopsida; Poales; Poaceae.
AUGUUUGAGGUGAUUGGGUUUUCCAACAAAGAGUUUGGAGUGGUUUCUACCAUUAGGUCCAAAGUUGAUAAUCUUAUGUGGCAGUUAGUUGUGGUUUAUGGCUCAUCAUACCCUGAAUUUAAACUGGAUUUUAUUGCUAAAUUACAUGAAAUUUUGGGGGUUGUCUCUGAUAUGUCCAUUUUGCAUCAUGAUUUUAUAUCAAUAUUUAUUGCAUUAUGGGCUGUUAUUACACGCUAUGUGACAAUACUUGUGGAUAUUCUCUCUUAUUUUAUAAGGUUUACCAUGAAGAGGGAGAAUGCCUGCAGCUGGGAUUCUGGCUGGAAAAGGAGCAAAUAUUGGAAACCUAUUCUGCACAACUCCAAAAAUCCUAAAACUCCACGGAAGUCAUUUUUGGAAUUAAUAAGAAUUAUUGAGUGA